AGGGGAAAGGUUCCAUGU
RNAcentral lists this small nuclear RNA (18 nucleotides) under Arabidopsis thaliana (thale cress). RNAcentral's name for it is "snRNA_00939". The record is from RNAcentral. Lineage: Eukaryota; Viridiplantae; Streptophyta; Magnoliopsida; Brassicales; Brassicaceae.